RNAcentral lists this ribosomal RNA (250 nucleotides) under uncultured bacterium. RNAcentral describes it as "partial 16S ribosomal RNA". It matches the Rfam family "Bacterial small subunit ribosomal RNA", at positions 525 to 774 of the family's 1533-position model. The record is from RNAcentral.
ACGGAGGGUGCAAGCGUUAUUCGGAUUUACUGGGCGUAAAGGGCGCGUAGGCGGUUGAUCAAGUCAGAUGUGAAAUCCCGGGGCUCAACCCCGGAAGUGCAUCUGAAACUGGUCGGCUUGAGUAUGGUAGAGGGAAGUGGAAUUCCUGGUGUAGCGGUGAAAUGCGUAGAUAUCAGGAGGAACACCGGUGGCGAAGGCGACUUCCUGGACCAAAACUGACGCUGAGGCGCGAAAGCGUGGGGAGCAAACA